GGAAAUCUCACCAGGUCCAGACACAAUGAGGAUUGACAGAUUGAGAGCUCUUUCUUGAUUUUGUGGGUGGUGGUGCAUGGCCGUUCUUAGUUGGUGGAGUGAUUUGUCUGCUUAAUUGCGAUAACGAACGAGACCUUAACCUGCUAAAUAGCCCGUAUUGCUUUGGCAGUACGCCGGCUUCUUAGAGGGACUAUCGGCUCAAGCCGAUGGAAGUUUGAGGCAAUAA
This 226-nucleotide ribosomal RNA is filed under the name uncultured eukaryote. Its description in RNAcentral is "partial 18S ribosomal RNA". It matches the Rfam family "Eukaryotic small subunit ribosomal RNA", at positions 1208 to 1456 of the family's 1831-position model. The record is from RNAcentral.